Molecule: ribosomal RNA, 433 nt
Filed under: uncultured Desulfocapsa sp.
Lineage: Bacteria; Pseudomonadati; Thermodesulfobacteriota; Desulfobulbia; Desulfobulbales; Desulfocapsaceae
Description: bacterial SSU rRNA
Rfam family: Bacterial small subunit ribosomal RNA
Source: RNAcentral
ACGCAACGCGCAGAACCUUACCUUGGUCUUGUACAUCUCGGGAAUCAUUUGGAAACAUAUGAGUGCCUCGCAAGAGGAGCCCGAUGACAGGUGCUGCAUGGCUGUCGUCAGCUCGCGUCGUGAGAUGUUGGGUUAAGUCCCGCAACGAGCGCAACCCUUGUCUUUAGUUGCCAUCAUUAAGUUGGGCACUCUAAAGAGACUGCCGGUGUCAAACCGGAGGAAGGUGGGGAUGACGUCAAGUCCUCAUGGCCUUUAUGACCAGGGCUACACACGUACUACAAUGGCAGGUACAAAGGGCAGCCACUUAGCGAUAAGGCGCGAAUCCCAUAAAACCUGUCUCAGUCCGGAUUGGAGUCUGCAACUCGACUCCAUGAAGUUGGAAUCGCUAGUAAUCGCAGAUCAGCACGCUGCGGUGAAUACGUUCCCGGGCCUU